AUUGAACGCUGGCGGCAGGCUUAACACAUGCAAGUCGAGCGAGCGGCGGACGGGUGAGUAAUGUCUGGGAAACUGCCUGAUGGAGGGGGAUAACUACAGGAAACGGUAGCUAAUACCGCAUACCAUCAGAUGUGUCCAGAUGGGAUUUGCUAGUAGGUGGGGUAAUGGCUCACCUAGGCGACGAUCACUAGCUGGUCUGAGAGGAUGACCAGCACCACUGGAACUGAGACACGGUCCAGACUCCUACGGGGGGCAGCAGUGGGGAAUAUUGCACAAUGGGCGCAGGCCGGAUGCAGCCAUGCCGCGUGUGUGAAGAGGGCCUUCGGGUUGUAAAGUACUUUCAGCGGGGAGACGUUACCCGCAGAAGAAGCACCGGCUAACUCCGUGCCAGCAGCCGCGGUAAUUC
Molecule: ribosomal RNA, 406 nt
Filed under: uncultured bacterium
Lineage: Bacteria
Description: partial 16S ribosomal RNA
Rfam family: Bacterial small subunit ribosomal RNA
Source: RNAcentral